This 492-nucleotide ribosomal RNA is filed under the name uncultured bacterium. RNAcentral describes it as "partial 16S ribosomal RNA". It matches the Rfam family "Bacterial small subunit ribosomal RNA", at positions 29 to 507 of the family's 1533-position model. The record is from RNAcentral.
AGUGAACGCUGGCGGUAGGCCUAACACGUGCAAGUCGAACGGCAGCACAGUAAGAGCUUGCUCUUACGGGUGGCGAGUGGCGGACGGGUGAGGAAUACAUCGGAAUCUACUUUUUCGUGGGGGAUAACGUAGGGAAACUUACGCUAAUACCGCAUACGACCUACGGGUGAAAGCAGGGGAUCUUCGGACCUUGCGCGAUUGAAUGAGCCGAUGUCGGAUUAGCUAGUUGGCGGGGUAAAGGCCCACCAAGGCGACGAUCCGUAGCUGGUCUGAGAGGAUGAUCAGCCACACUGGAACUGAGACACGGUCCAGACUCCUGCGGGAGGCAGCAGUGGGGAAUAUUGGACAAUGGGCGCAAGCCUGAUCCAGCCAUACCGCGUGGGUGAAGAAGGCCUUCGGGUUGUAAAGCCCUUUUGUUGGGAAAGAAAAGCAGCAGGUUAAUACCCCGCUGUUCUGACGGUACCCAAAGAAUAAGCACCGGCUAACUUCGUG